RNAcentral lists this ribosomal RNA (562 nucleotides) under uncultured bacterium. RNAcentral describes it as "bacterial SSU rRNA". It matches the Rfam family "Bacterial small subunit ribosomal RNA", at positions 338 to 916 of the family's 1533-position model. The record is from RNAcentral.
CCUACGGGAGGCAGCAGUGGGGAAUUUUCCGCAAUGGGCGAAAGCCUGACGGAGCAACGCCGCGUGGGGGAUGAAGGCCUCUGGGCUGUAAACCCCUUUUCUCAAGGAAGAAGACCUGACGGUACUUGAGGAAUAAGCCACGGCUAAUUCCGUGCCAGCAGCCGCGGUAAUACGGGAGUGGCAAGCGUUAUCCGGAAUUAUUGGGCGUAAAGCGUCCGCAGGCGGCCUAUUAAGUCUGUCGUUAAAGCGUGGAGCUCAACUCCAUUUAAGCGAUGGAAACUGGAAGGCUAGAGUGUGGUAGGGGCAGAGGGAAUUCCCGGUGUAGCGGUGAAAUGCGUAGAUAUCGGGAAGAACACCAGUGGCGAAGGCGCUCUGCUGGGCCAUAACUGACGCUCAUGGACGAAAGCCAGGGGAGCGAAAGGGAUUAGAUACCCCUGUAGUCCUGGCCGUAAACGAUGAACACUAGGUGUCGGGGGAAUCGACCCCUCGGUGUCGUAGCUAACGCGUUAAGUGUUCCGCCUGGGAGUACGCACGCAAGUGUGAAACUCAAAUGAAUUGACGG